This 159-nucleotide ribosomal RNA is filed under the name Telimena rinoreae. Its description in RNAcentral is "5.8S ribosomal RNA". It matches the Rfam family "5.8S ribosomal RNA". From Rfam's summary of the family: 5.8S ribosomal RNA (5.8S rRNA) is a component of the large subunit of the eukaryotic ribosome. It is transcribed by RNA polymerase I as part of the 45S precursor that also contains 18S and 28S rRNA. The record is from RNAcentral. Lineage: Eukaryota; Fungi; Ascomycota; Sordariomycetes; Phyllachorales; Telimenaceae.
AAAUUUUCAACAACGGAUCUCUUGGUUCGGGCAUCGAUGAAGAACGCCGCGAAAUGCGAAAAGUAAUGUGAAUUGGCAGAACUCAGCGAAUCAUUCGAUUCUUGAACGCCUAUUGCGCCCGGGAUUAUUCUCCCGGGCAUGCCUGUUCGAGCGUCAUUU